RNAcentral lists this ribosomal RNA (1416 nucleotides) under metagenome. RNAcentral's name for it is "SSU rRNA". It matches the Rfam family "Eukaryotic small subunit ribosomal RNA", at positions 1 to 1121 of the family's 1831-position model. The record is from RNAcentral.
UCUGGUUGAUACUGCCAGUAGUCAUAUGCUUGUUUCAAGGACUAAGCCAUGCAAGCCUCAGAAUCACUGCAUUUGCAAGAAUCUGCGCAUGGCUCAUUACAUCAGACGUAAUCUGCCGCAAGAACGUUGCGGUGCAAACCGUAUUAUUGGAUACCUUGGCGAAACGCCAAGCUAAUACAUGAACAAAGCGGUGUUCUCCACAAAAAUGCUACACGUUCGCUUCGGCGGGCGUGGGCAGCGAGACACUGAGCGAAUGAAUGGAAUUAGAACCAACGCCGGCAACGGCAGCAAGACACAGUAGUGUUGACUCAAUUCAUUCUGCGAAAGCUGGUUUACCAGCGCUUUUUGACGAACAACUGCCCUAUCAGCCAGUGAUGGCCGUGUAGUGGACUGCCAAGGCGUUGACGGGAGCGGGGAAUUAGGGUUCGAUUCCGGAGAGGGAGCCUGAGAAAUGGCUACCACUUCUACGGAGGGCAGCAGGCGCGUAAAUUGCCCAAUACCGAAACAAAAUGCUGAGGCAGCGAAAAGAAAUAGGUUUCUCAGAUGCCAUACGGUGUUUGAGAUUUGCAAUGGGGGAUAUUUAAACCCAUCCAAUAUCGAGUAACAAUUGGAGGACAAGUCUGGUGCCAGCACCCGCGGUAAUUCCAGCUCCAAAAGCGUAUAUUAACGCUGUUGCUGUUAAAGGGUUCGUAGUUGAACUGGGGGCUGACGAGUAAACGAAGGCGUCUCUUCCUUCACGGAAGGACUCAACCUACGUACUUGCAGUCCGAGAACAUCAGAAACGAACAUCACGGAAACGUUCCUUCCCGACUCACGCAUGCAACGCAUGUAGGGGGGCGUCCGUGUUCAUUACUGUGACAAACGAAGGGCGACUCAAGCAGUCAUUCGACAUGAAUUAGAAAGCAUGGGAUAACAAAGCAGCGGCCUGUGGGCUACCAUUCUGGCUUUUGUUGGUUUUAACGGUCUGUGGGAGAUUGUGGAUGCGCAGGAACGGCCGCUCGGGGCUUCGGCACCGACGGUCUCUGGCGGCUUUCGGGCCGUCAGACUUGCUGUGUCCAGGAAUGAAGGAGGGUUGUUUCGGGGGAGAACGUACUUGGGCGUGAGAGGUGAAAUUCAUAGACCGCCCAAAGACGAACUACAGCGAAGGCAUUCUCCAAGGAUACCUUCCUCAAUCAAGAACCAAAGUGUGGAGAUCGAAGAUGAUUAGAGACCAUUGUAGUCCACACCACAAACGGUGACCCCCAUGAAUUGGGGAGUAUUUUUUGGUCGAAGUUACCAGGUUCGUCCUGGGCAACUUUACCAAAGAGAACAUUUUGCGUAUUCCAACAACGGGCUUCGGCCCAAAUUCCGGGAAUAUCCUCAGCACGUUUUCUGACUGUUUAACGCGAAAGCUUUGAGGUUACAGUCUCAGGGGGG